RNAcentral lists this ribosomal RNA (328 nucleotides) under uncultured eukaryote. RNAcentral's name for it is "partial 18S ribosomal RNA". It matches the Rfam family "Eukaryotic small subunit ribosomal RNA", at positions 1470 to 1796 of the family's 1831-position model. The record is from RNAcentral.
CCCUUAGAUGUUCUGCGCCGCACGCGCGUUACACUGAUGCAUUCAACGAGCUUAUAACCUUGGCCGAGAGGCCUGGGCAAUCUUGUUAACGUGCAUCGUGAUAGGGAUAGAUUAUUGAAAUUAUUAAUCUUGAACGAGGAAUUCCUAGUAAACGCAGAUCAUCAAUCUGCAUUGAUUACGUCCCUGCCCUUUGUACACACCGCCCGUCGCACCUACCGAUUGGAUGGUCCGGUGAAGCCUCGGGAUUGUGGUUCUUGCCGCUUUAUUGUGGCGUGACCGCGAGAACUUGUCUAAACCUUAUCAUCUAGAGGAAGGUGAAGUCGUAACA